Molecule: ribosomal RNA, 253 nt
Filed under: uncultured bacterium
Lineage: Bacteria
Description: partial 16S ribosomal RNA
Rfam family: Bacterial small subunit ribosomal RNA
Source: RNAcentral
UACAGAGGGUGCAAGCGUUAAUCGGAGUUACUGGGCGUAAAGGGCGUGUAGGCUGAUAUUUAAGUCGAUUGUGAAAUCCCUGGGCUUAACCUAGGAAUUGCAUUCGAUACUGGAUGUCUUGAGUAUGGUAGAGGAAAGUAGAAUUCUCGGUGUAGUGGUUAAAUACGUAGAUAUCGAGAGGAAUACCGGUGGCGAAGGCGACUUUCUGGGCCAAUACUGACGCUGAGGCGCGAAAGCGUGGGGAGCAAACAGG